RNAcentral lists this ribosomal RNA (274 nucleotides) under uncultured bacterium. Its description in RNAcentral is "partial 16S ribosomal RNA". It matches the Rfam family "Bacterial small subunit ribosomal RNA", at positions 523 to 796 of the family's 1533-position model. The record is from RNAcentral.
AUACGGAGGGUGCAAGCGUUACUCGGAAUCACUGGGCGUAAAGCGCGCGCAGGCGGCUUGAUAAGUUGGAUGUGAAAGCCUACGGCUCAACCGUAGAACUGCAUCCAAAACUAUUAGACUAGAGUGUGAGAGAGGAAGAUGGAAUUAGUUGUGUAGGGGUAAAAUCCGUAGAGAUAACUAGGAAUACCAAAAGCGAAGGCAAUCUUCUGGAACACUACUGACGCUGAGGCGCGAAAGCGUGGGGAGCAAACAGAAUUAGAAACCCUAGUAGUCC